UGACCCGGAGGCAUUUUUUAUGGUUUCGAACAAGUGGACUCUUAAUCCCUUGGUUACAGGUUCGAGUCCUGUGCGGGUCAU
RNAcentral lists this transfer RNA (81 nucleotides) under Anaerolineae bacterium. RNAcentral describes it as "tRNA-Lys". Lineage: Bacteria; Bacillati; Chloroflexota; Anaerolineae. The record is from RNAcentral.